This 429-nucleotide ribosomal RNA is filed under the name Chloroflexota bacterium. Its description in RNAcentral is "Chloroflexi bacterium partial 16S ribosomal RNA". It matches the Rfam family "Bacterial small subunit ribosomal RNA", at positions 355 to 776 of the family's 1533-position model. The record is from RNAcentral. Lineage: Bacteria; Bacillati; Chloroflexota.
UGGGGAAUAUUGCACAAUGGGCGCAAGCCUGAUGCAGCCAUGUCGCGUGUGUGAAGAAGGCCUUCGGGUUGUAAAGCACUUUCAGCGGGGAGGAAGGCGGUGAGGUUAAUAACCUCAUCGAUUGACGUUACCCGCAGAAGAAGCACCGGCUAACUCCGUGCCAGCAGCCGCGGUAAUACGGAGGGUGCAAGCGUUAAUCGGAAUUACUGGGCGUAAAGCGCACGCAGGCGGUCUGUCAAGUCGGAUGUGAAAUCCCCGGGCUCAACCUGGGAACUGCAUUCGAAACUGGCAGGCUAGAGUCUUGUAGAGGGGGGUAGAAUUCCAGGUGUAGUGGUGAAAUGCGUAGAGAUCUGGAGGAAUACCGGUGGCGAAGGCGGCCCCCUGGACAAAGACUGACGCUCAGGUGCGAAAGCGUGGGGAGCAAACAGG